UCGUGAGUGAGUAUGGUUAUUUUCAUGGCAAUAUCGUCAUUUGCGUAAGUUCAAUAAGAAUCUGUUCUCCUUAAAACAAGACACGUUUGGAAACACUGGUUAUAUUACCAAGGCUUUGACUGGAAUGUCAUAUUUGAGAGAGCCAUACAGAUUCAGAUAUGGCAAGACAGCUUUUGAAGAAUAAAGCUUGACCUUCUGGACUAAAGCCACUUGGAAAUAUUGGCCUGGUACCUUGUUUCCUAGCAACCUUACAGGUAAGUAAGAAAGGUCACUUAUCUGGCAGGCACCUGGAACCUUCAAAUAUUUUGGGGAACCUCAAGAGAAGAGAAGAGUCCACCUAAAUCGGUAGGUACUGCAGGAAAAAAUCUGAUGGCAAGUCCUUGGCUUGGCUUUUCUGGCCUUGAUAGGCCUUUAAAGUUCAAUCUGAGAUUCCUUAUAAAAAGUUCCAGCAAAGCAGAUUUAAAAGAGCCUAUGUAGUCUUACAUAGGCUGCACUUACGUAAAUAAUUGGACCAAGUUUUAUCGAAACUAGACUUAUUUUGCCAACCAGUUAAUCUCACUUUGGCUAUCUUUUAUAAAAAAUGAGGAUGAUUUUAGAGAGAAAGAUUAUGUUUCAGUAGAAGCUGUAGUACAAAUUCAUGGAUAUUAGAUUCUAGUUCUGUUAAUUGUCUUUGAAGUUUUUGUUGUAUCUGUAAACUGGACUGGAUUGUGACUUCUUCUAGUCUCCUCAAAUAUCUGGCUGCAAAUCUGCAAACUAACAUUUUCAAUUUUUUCCAUUAUUUUCAUUCGAAAUCAUUGAGAACCUGCCCUUUUCCUGAAGCCUGGAGGACUUGAUGUAAACGUAAGAGAAGGUUCAUGUCUGCUGCUGUGGAAGCCACUCAGAAAGAAAUACAUCUUAUUAAAUACCUGGUCACUUGCUCACGCAACAUGGGCCUAACUUUGGGAGCCCACCUGCUGCACCUACACCAAUACUUCUUUCCAGGUAGAAACCAGCGUUAGUGAAAUAAGGGAACAAGCAAGCAACCUGGAUACAGACAACUAGAAAGCAUCAAUCCCCUUUCCUAUCAGACUUAGGUGACUGGUUUACUAACCUUUUCUCUUCGAUGCCAGCUGGGACCAAAUCCAUCCAUGUGGGUAUAAUAAAAGGUGGCCUCACUUUAGUAUUAAUAGGUCUACUGUUAUGCUUAGUCAUUAAAUUGUGAAUAAAAUGUAUAUCUACCUCAACCACCAAGGCUUCCAGGUUGACAGCAUGACAACUCCCUCUUAGAAACCUCUUGGCCCAUUUUAAGAAGAGGGUAACUCACGUUGCCCUGAUUGAGCAGGAAGUAGCCAGAAUGAACACGAUGGCCCUAUUCCCUACACCAGCGUGUGAUUAUGCUGGGUGUAUAACGGACGGGGGAAUUGAUACUGCUCAACACAAGGUUGACAUAAGGGAAGCCAUAUUGUAGAAAAGAAACCAUAUUGUAACUUUGAAUGACCUCUGACUGACUAGCCCAGACAGGCUCUGUAGAUUUUGAGGUCCCUCCCAGCUGCUUUAAGAUGAUAGCUUGGUUCUUUCGAGUUCCUUAGGAAUGUGAUGACCCCGGGCAGAGAGUCUGUGCUGAUGGCCAUCGUCAACGACAACUGAAAGAUCAGGGUACAGGGUGUUGUUCCAUUCUCUGGUGCAUAUGCAGUAAAACAAAGGACUAACGGGAACUGUGACCAGAUGUCUCCCCACCCAGAGACCAGCCCCGUGUACCACUGGCCUGUAGUCUUUGUUCUGGGAGAUGGUUCUUUUGGACACGAGGCGACCAUCUUCCCUCUUGCUAGCAAGCUGUAAUAAAGGCCUUUCUCCCCUACCCCCUUGCCUCCUAUUGGCAUGUCUUGCGGCAGGCAGACGAGCCCACUUGGGCGGUAACAGCAGGGUCCCUGCUGGCCCUUUGUAGCCACUGCACGGUCACCCACCCCAAGCCCCUGGCCACCACCAAUCUGCCCUCCAUUCCGAAAUUCUGUCAAUCCCAAAAUGUGACGUAAAUGGUUUCGGAUAGUGACCUCGAGGUGCUGACCUUUUCCACUCAGCCUGAGUCCCUGGAGUUCUGCCUGGUGGUGCCUCUGUCAAGAGUUGACUUGUCCUCAGUGCUCGGUGCAGUCGGUGGUGUGGGUCACAGUCUGUGAAGGCGGCCACCUGGGCGAGGACACUUGGGUUGUCUCCAGUUGGGGGUAUUAGAAAUUAGGCUGCUCCAGGUUUCGUGUGGACGCAGUGUCAUUUCUCUGGGCUUGGUGGCCGGGCGAGCCGUGGCUGGGCCACGUGGCGGUUGCCUGUUUAAUUUAUAGGAACUGCAGACUUCCAGAGCGGCUGCGCCAUUUUACACCCCACCAUCAAAGUCCGAGAGGCCCAGUUUCUCUGUCUCCUCACUGGCUGUUUUCAGCUCGGCCAUUCUGACGGCUGCAGCGGCCUCUCCCUGUGGCUGACGUGUUGACCUAUUCCCCCGGCUCAUUCGCUGCCUCUCAUGACGUUUGUCCGUUUUCUAAUUGCAUUGUUUUGUUUCACUGUGGAGUGUACACCUCACCCUCAGUCCUCUGUCGGAUGUGGUGGAUUCUCGCUGUUGGAGGUGGUUCUGUCUGAAAUCACACAGACACUGACUUGGCGAGUCCCGUGCCACUGCCCCCGGGCAAGAACGAGCGAGGGUCCCACCAGCCUCUGGGCACGACAUUUUUGUCAACCGACCAAUAGGUGACUGGAGGGCUCGUGCCUGGAGGAAGCUCGUCUCACACACGUGUUUUCUCCCUGCACACGUCCCAGCCUUCUCGAGCUCGGGAACACUAGACAGCACUCCAGCUGGGCGCCUGCCGGCCAUUUUAAAGAGUGAAAUUACCAACAAGCAGCACAAGAACGCAAACAACAGAGCACCAAAUAGACCGUGAAAAGGCCACUUGUUUACAGUCCGAGCGCUGGGACAAGAGGGCAGGGUGAGGCCUCGUUCCACCUCGGCUGGGAGCCUGGGCAGUGGGAGAGUCGAGCUUUGAAGCUCUGAGCGUGUCCGCCAAGGCUGCGAGAGCACCUCGAGUACUGGUUUCGCGGUUACAGGUAAACCUAUGGGUAGGUGAGUUCACGAGUACAGAAUCUGCAAGUAACGAGGACCAACUGGCUUGCACAUGUUUUCUUCCACUGUAGCUUGUCUUUUUAUCCUCAUCUCAUGGGCUUUUGCUGAGCAAAAGCUUUUAAUAUUCAUGAGAUCAAGUUACCAGUGUUUCCUUUUACGAAUCAUGCUUUAGGGCUCGCUCAAGUCCAAGCGCUCUUUGCCUAGCCCUGGAUUCUGAAGAUUUUCUCCUAUGUUUUUCCUGAAAGUUUUAUAAUUUUAUGUUGUAUAUUUAAGUCCGUUAUUUGAGUUAAUUUUCACAAAGUGUGAGAUUUAGCUCGAGGUUCAUUUUCUGCGGACAUCCCAUUGUUCCAACACCACUUGUUAAAGGUUCUCCUUCCUCCGUUGAAUUGCCUUUGCUCCCAUCAAAGAUCAGUUGGGCAGAUUCGUGUGGGUCUGUUCCUGGGUCUCUGUUCUGUCCUGUUCAUCCGUGUGUCUGUCCCUCUGCGACACCCACUGCCCUGACUUCUGGGGCUGUAUAGCAAGGCUUAACGUCGGGUAGAGUGAUUCUUCCCACUUUAUUCUUCUUCUUCAAGACCAUUUUAGCUACUCUGGGGCCUGUGCCCUUCCACGUGAGUUUUAGAACAAGCUUGUCUGUGCCUACAAGAGGCCUUGCUGUUUUUUUAUGUUUCGUUUUUUUUUUCUUUUAUUGAGAGCAUGACAGUUUGUUGUGCACAGGAAGGCUAUGACUUCCUGUAUUUACGCUAACAAACUUUCUUUAAGUCUGUUUGACUUUUGAGGACAUGAACAUCAGUUUAUUUAAUUAAUUUUACAAAUAUAUUAAGAACCUCCUUGUGUUGGAUGCUAGAAAUCUAGUAGUGAAAAAAGUGGACAUACUUUAGCAGUUCUCAGCAUGCAUACUGUGUAUUUUAAAUAAAUCGCGUAUUGAUAGAACUGUA
Equus caballus (horse) is the source of this 4017-nucleotide long non-coding RNA. RefSeq lists it as uncharacterized. NCBI's taxonomy places the organism in Eukaryota, Metazoa, Chordata, Mammalia, Perissodactyla, Equidae. The record is from RefSeq and is a predicted model, not a curated record.